GACGAACCGUGCGAACGUUGCUCGGAAUCACUGGGCGUAAAGCGCACGUAGGCGGCUUUCUAAGUCAGGGGUGAAAUCCUGGAGCUCAACUCCAGAACUGCCUUUGAUACUGGAAAGCUUGAGUCCGGGAGAGGUGAGUGGAACUGCGAGUGUAGAGGUGAAAUUCGUAGAUAUUCGCAAGAACACCAGUGGCGAAGGCGGCUCACUGGCCCGGUACUGACGCUGAGGUGCGAAAGCGUGGGGAGCAAACAGG
RNAcentral lists this ribosomal RNA (253 nucleotides) under uncultured bacterium. RNAcentral describes it as "partial 16S ribosomal RNA". It matches the Rfam family "Bacterial small subunit ribosomal RNA", at positions 524 to 776 of the family's 1533-position model. The record is from RNAcentral.